RNAcentral lists this ribosomal RNA (469 nucleotides) under Corynebacterineae bacterium BF.112. RNAcentral describes it as "bacterial SSU rRNA". It matches the Rfam family "Bacterial small subunit ribosomal RNA", at positions 17 to 503 of the family's 1533-position model. Lineage: Bacteria; Bacillati; Actinomycetota; Actinomycetes; Mycobacteriales; Corynebacteriaceae. The record is from RNAcentral.
CCCUGGCUCAGGACGAACGCUGGCGGCGUGCUUAACACAUGCAAGUCGAGCGGUAAGGCCCUUCGGGGUACACGAGCGGCGAACGGGUGAGUAACACGUGGGUGAUCUGCCCUGCACUUCGGGAUAAGCCUGGGAAACUGGGUCUAAUACCGGAUAUGACCAAAGGCUGCAUGGCUUUUGGUGGAAAGGUUUACUGGUGCAGGAUGGGCCCGCGGCCUAUCAGCUUGUUGGUGGGGUAAUGGCCUACCAAGGCGACGACGGGUAGCCGACCUGAGAGGGUGACCGGCCACACUGGGACUGAGACACGGCCCAGACUCCUACGGGAGGCAGCAGUGGGGAAUAUUGCACAAUGGGCGAAAGCCUGAUGCAGCGACGCCGCGUGAGGGAUGAAGGCCUUCGGGUUGUAAACCUCUUUCAGCAGGGACGAAGCGAAAGUGACGGUACCUGCAGAAGAAGCACCGGCUAACUA